This 1272-nucleotide ribosomal RNA is filed under the name human gut metagenome. RNAcentral's name for it is "bacterial LSU rRNA". It matches the Rfam family "Bacterial large subunit ribosomal RNA", at positions 1637 to 2925 of the family's 2925-position model. The record is from RNAcentral.
GGUGCCCGUACCGCAAACCGACACAGGUAGGUAGGAAGAAGAUUCUAAGGCCAACGGGAGAAGGGUUGUUAAGGAACUCGGCAAAUUGACCCCGUAACUUCGGGAGAAGGGGUGCUCCAGAGAUGGAGCCGCAGAGAAUCGGCCCAAGCAACUGUUUACCAAAAACACAGGUUUGUGCUAAAUCGAAAGAUGACGUAUACGAGCUGACGCCUGCCCGGUGCUGGAAGGUUAAGAGGAGAUGUGCAAGCAUUGAAUCGAAGCCCCAGUGAACGGCGGCCGUAACUAUAACGGUCCUAAGGUAGCGAAAUUCCUUGUCAGGUAAGUUCUGACCCGCAUGAAAGGCGUAAUGAUUUGGGCACUGUCUCAACAGCCCGCCCGGCGAAAUUGUAGUACCGGUGAAGAUGCCGGUUACCCGCGACAAGACGGAAAGACCCCAUGGAGCUUUACUGUAGCCUAAUAUUGGGUUUCGAUGUUGCAUGCACAGGAUAGAUGGGACACAGGGAAACAAGUGCUUUGGCAUUUGUGGAGUGGCCGUUGGGAUACCAUCCUUGCGAUAUUGGAAUUCUAACCUGCGCCUUUGAAUCAAGGCGGGGGACAUUGUUAGGUGGGCAGUUUGACUGGGGCGGUCGCCUCCUAAAGAGUAACGGAGGCGUUCAAAGGUUCGCUCAGCUUGAACGGAAAUCAAGCAAAAGAGUGCAAACGCAGAAGCGAGCCUAACUGCGAGACUGACGGGUCGAGCAGUAACGAAAGUUGGAGUUAGUGAUCCGGUGGUAUGUGAGUGGAAAUGCCAUCGCUCAACGGAUAAAAGUUACCCUGGGGAUAACAGGCUGAUCUCCCCCAAGAGUCCACAUCGACGGGGAGGUUUGGCACCUCGAUGUCGGCUCAUCGCAUCCUGGGGCUGUAUUCGGUCCCAAGGGUUUGGCUGUUCGCCAAUUAAAGCGGUACGCGAGCUGGGUUCAGAACGUCGUGAGACAGUUCGGUCCCUAUCUGUCGUGGGCGCAGGAUAUUUGAUGGGAGCUGUUCCUAGUACGAGAGGACCGGAGCGGACGUACCUCUGGCGCACCAGUUGUUCUGCCAAGGGCAUAGCUGGGCAACUAUGUACGGAUCGGAUAAACGCUGAAAGCAUCUAAGCGUGAAGCCGACCCAAAGAUAAGAUAUCCCAUUGUUUCAAACAAGUAAGACCCCUUGAAGACUACAAGGUUGAUAGGCACGAUGUGUAAGUGGAGCGAUCCAUUCAGCAAGCGUGUACUAAUAGGUCGAGGGCUUGACCAC